This 252-nucleotide long non-coding RNA is filed under the name Mytilus galloprovincialis (Mediterranean mussel). Lineage: Eukaryota; Metazoa; Mollusca; Bivalvia; Mytilida; Mytilidae. The record is from RNAcentral.
UGCUGGGCUUCAUUAUGAUAAAAAUCAUUUGACAAUUUAAGAUACGUUUAAAGCAUUUGUUUAUGUUGCUGUUUUCUUUAGGUGACAUGUUUAAGGCCUAAUUAACACCUUUGAUGGUCUUUAAUCUGUUGAUCACUUUAUCUUGGGUUAAUUAGUGUUGUCACUAGGAUUUACACGGGUCAAUGUUUACUUUGCAAUUUCCCUCAAUCCAGAUUAUUUGUAACCUUCGUGUCUAAAGGCUUUAAUUUUUUC